RNAcentral lists this ribosomal RNA (789 nucleotides) under Triticum aestivum (bread wheat). RNAcentral's name for it is "partial small subunit ribosomal RNA". Lineage: Eukaryota; Viridiplantae; Streptophyta; Magnoliopsida; Poales; Poaceae. The record is from RNAcentral.
UUGCGCUUUCAAUACGAGGGGCCUGCAUUCUGCUGCAGAAAGGGAAAAGUGGAUGUAUUUACUCCAGAUGUUUGUGAGGAGUUGAAACGGUUGUUUACAAGUCAAGAUGAUGGGGAUGCUAGAUAUUUCAGAGAAAAUAUACGGUAUUUCAACUCCCACUUCUCAUUCACAAGUCUGGGAGUCACCCUUGAUCGCCGAGUCAGCACCGCAGCAGGAACCGGCGUAUAUACAUUUCGUGCGUGUGGAGGGUUGUACCACGCUCUUGAUGAUCUCGAGUCUGGUGAUAAUGGCCCUCGACAUUUGCAGCUAUAUAUUUAUGAUACAGAUGAAAACUUGUUUCAUAGGGUUAAGAGGUCUCCAAAUCUUAGGUUAGAUCUCAUACGGAAGAUUCUGGCAAUACUAGAGCAUAACCCUUAUGCUCAAGUAUUUAAAAGCCUUGGAGUUGUUCCAAAUCUAGAUGAAUACAGGAUCUCAUUAAAUACCGAUAUCAAGCUUGAUCAACGAAGGUACAAUGCGCCAACAACUUCUCAGGUAGCAGCAAUAUGGGUUGAAGGGAGCGACCCACAAAAAACCUUUGAUAGAAGUGUUAUCAUGUACGGGAAAGGAGAGCGUCCCCUGUAUAUUAGAGCAUACUAUGGGUGCUACGACCCUUUGUCAUAUCCACUAUUCUUCCCACGUGGGGAGAUCGGUUGGAAUCGUUUGAUGCCAUAUAUUGGGGCCGCCGAUGACACAAACCAAGAUUUAGUGGAUGAUACUGCACGACAACAUAAUCCAUCUUGCAGACGAUGA